UGGGGAAUCUUGCACAAUGGGGGAAACCCUGAUGCAGCGACGCCGCGUGAGCGAUGAAGGUUUUCGAAUCGUAAAGCUCUGUCCUAUGGGAAGAUAAUGACGGUACCAUAGGAGGAAGCCCCGGCUAACUACGUGCCAGCAGCCGCGGUAAUACGUAGGGGGCGAGCGUUGUCCGGAAUUACUGGGCGUAAAGGGUUCGCAGGCGGCGUGACAAGUCUGAUGUAAAAGGCGAAAGCUCAACUUUCGUAAGCAUCGGAAACUGUCAAGCUUGAGUGAAGGAGAGGCAAGUGGAAUUCCUAGUGUAGCGGUGGAAUGCGUAGAUAUUAGGAGGAAUACCGGUGGCGAAGGCGACUUGCUGGACUUCAACUGACGCUGAGGAACGAAAGCGUGGGUAGCAAACAGG
This 403-nucleotide ribosomal RNA is filed under the name uncultured Peptoniphilus sp. RNAcentral's name for it is "bacterial SSU rRNA". It matches the Rfam family "Bacterial small subunit ribosomal RNA", at positions 355 to 776 of the family's 1533-position model. The record is from RNAcentral. Lineage: Bacteria; Bacillati; Bacillota; Tissierellia; Tissierellales; Peptoniphilaceae.